Molecule: ribosomal RNA, 307 nt
Filed under: uncultured soil bacterium
Lineage: Bacteria
Description: bacterial SSU rRNA
Rfam family: Bacterial small subunit ribosomal RNA
Source: RNAcentral
AGAGCGAACGUUGGCGGCGCGCUUAACACAUGCAAGUCGCACGAGAAAAGGGGCAACCCUGAGUAAAGUGGCGCACGGGUGCGUAACACGUGGGCAAUCUGCCCUCAGGCGGGGAUAACUAUCCGAAGGGAUAGCUAAUACCGCGUAUGACCACAGUCGCCUCGGCGACAGAGGUAAAAGCUGGCCUCUACUUGUAAGCUAGCACCUGAGGAGGAGCCCGCGGCCCAUCAGCUAGUUGGUGAGGUAACGGCUCACCAAGGCUAAGACGGGUAGCUGGUCUGAGAGGAUGAUCAGCCACACGUGGCAC